UGGGGAAUAUUGGACAAUGGGGGAAACCCUGAUGCAGCGAUGCCGCGUGAGUGAAGAAGGCCCUUGGGUUGUAAAGCUCUUUCGUCGGGGAAGAAAAUGACUGUACCCGAAUAAGAAGGUCCGGCUAACUACGUGCCAGCAGCCGCGGUAAUACGUAGGAACCGAGCGUUGUCCGAAUUUACUGGGCGUAAAGGGCGAGUAGGCGGCUUGCCAAGUCUCAUGUGAAAUCUCCCGGCUCAACUGGGAGGGGUCAUGGGAAACUGGCAGGCUAGAGGGCAGCAGAGGAAGGUGGAAUUCCCGGAGUAGUGGUGGAAUGCGUAGAUACCGGGAGGAACACCAGUGGCGAAGGCGGCUUUCUGGGCUGUACCUGACGCUGAGGCGCGAAAGCGUGGGGAGCAAACCGG
RNAcentral lists this ribosomal RNA (404 nucleotides) under uncultured bacterium. Its description in RNAcentral is "bacterial SSU rRNA". It matches the Rfam family "Bacterial small subunit ribosomal RNA", at positions 355 to 776 of the family's 1533-position model. The record is from RNAcentral.